Molecule: ribosomal RNA, 433 nt
Filed under: uncultured bacterium
Lineage: Bacteria
Description: partial 16S ribosomal RNA
Rfam family: Bacterial small subunit ribosomal RNA
Source: RNAcentral
AACGAACGCUGGCGGCAUGCCUAACACAUGCAAGUCGAACGAGACCUUCGGGUAUAGUGGCGCACGGGUGCGUAACGCGUGGGAACCUGCCCUUAGGUUCGGAAUAACUCCCCGAAAGGGGUGCUAAUACCGGAUAAUGUCUUCGGACCAAAGAUUUAUCUCCUUUGGAUGGGCCCGCGUUGGAUUAGCUAGUUGGUAGGGUAAAAGCCUACCAAGGCGACGAUCCAUAGCUGGUCUGAGAGGAUGAUCAGCCACACUGGGACUGAGACACGGCCCAGACUCCUACGGGAGGCAGCAGUGGGGAAUAUUGGACAAUGGGCGAAAGCCUGAUCCAGCAAUGCCGCGUGAGUGAUGAAGGCCUUAGGGUUGUAAAGCUCUUUUACCCGGGAUGAUAAUGACAGUACCGGGAGAAUAAGCUCCGGCUAACUCCGUG